This 471-nucleotide ribosomal RNA is filed under the name uncultured bacterium. Its description in RNAcentral is "SSU rRNA". It matches the Rfam family "Bacterial small subunit ribosomal RNA", at positions 26 to 518 of the family's 1533-position model. The record is from RNAcentral.
AGGACGAACGCUGGCGGCGUGCUUAACACAUGCAAGUCGAACGGAAAGGCCCGCUUGCGGGUACUCGAGUGGCGAACGGGUGAGUAACACGUGGGCAACCUGCCCUCAGCUUCGGGAUAACUCUCGGAAACGGGUGCUAAUACCGAAUGUUGACAUUUCCUCGCAUGGGGGUUGUGUUGAAAGUUUUUCGGCUGGGGAUGGGCCCGCGGCCUAUCAGCUUGUUGGUGGGGUGAUGGCCUACCAAGGCGACGACGGGUAGCCGGCCUGAGAGGGCGAUCGGCCACACUGGAACUGAGACACGGUCCAGACUCCUACGGGAGGCAGCAGUGGGGAAUAUUGCGCAAUGGGCGGAAGCCUGAUCCAGCAAUGCCGCGUGAGUGAUGAAGGCCCUAGGGUUGUAAAGCUCUUUUACCCGGGAUGAUAAUGACAGUACCGGAGAAUAAGCCCGGCUAACUCCGCGCCAGCAGCCGC